GUUCAUUCUUGUGCAGCACAAGCAAACAAAUAAUCCUGAGCAGUAGAUAAAUUGGAGUUUCAUCACCAAUUCAUUCAGACAUACUUGAAACAUUGAUAAAUGAUAAAUCGAAAAAUGGUUUCGUAUCUCAAAAAUUGUCUUCUUAUAUUUUUUAUGUAUAACUCAGCCGGUUACUUUGUUGUUAAAUGUUGUAUCUUCUGGGCAGUCUGAAUGAAAGCACUUUUAUGGUUUCAAUAGAAAAAUGGUUAACAGUCAAACCUGUCGUCCAAGGUUACCGAGACAUGUCAGCAGCACACUGACCUCAUGUAUAAAUAGAUUUUACUAUUUCCUAAAAAGAGCUGCAACAGUCAAGGAUACCCAUGUUUAUCUGAGUAUAACGUGAUCAGAUACUAUAACAGUUAAAUCACAUAUAGUUUCUAAUAUGAUUUAUUUACAUUUGUAGGCCUAUAUUAUAUUAACAAACAAAAAACGAAACAGCCAAACACGUCAAACAAGGCUGUUUCUCCUUUAAAGGCCUUAAGACUUCCCGUACAUCUGACUGCAGGUGUUAAGGACAUCACUCACUCCAUCAUGCCAUGUCCAACCCAGCGGAAAAACCAAACAUAUCAAUGUUAAUUUUCACUCCAAACGAUUGAGCUUGGUAUGUCAGCAAAUGCUUAUAAUUAUAUUUACCCACUUUCCCUAGAAGACAAACGAACAUAGCAUUUAUCUCCAAAAGUAGCCUCUUUAAAAUAGAAUUCAUGUAAACAUGUAACACCCCACCCCAUAAACUCUUAUUCUAUUAUGCUGCAUACGUAUUUCUGUAAAAGAACUGACUUUUAAUUGGAUAUUGAAGUGCUGUUCAAACUGUACGCUUUUCAAAGUUGAUGUUCUAAGCAAAUGAAACAUGUGAAGACCUGCCAGUGUUUAUCGGAGUAUCCAGGUCCUAUAGGUGGUUUUUCUAGUUUCUGUCGUUCUUGUAUUCAUGCAAGUUAACAGCCUGAGGAUUAUACAUUUAUGUCAAUGAUUUAUGUCGAUAGUAAAGGGGUGGAAAUGCAUAUGAAGCCAUCAAUUUCAUAUAUUUUGAGAUUUCAUAUACCUUGCGUUUGCUUGUGUCUUAUUUAGAUUUGCCGCUGCUUAAUAUCUAACCUGUUAAACUCGCACAAUCAACCAAAUAAACGAGUCCAAAAAUAACCCCUGGCGACGCCCCCUUCACCUGAAGGCCGGCAAACCUGCAGGAGGGACUCCGCCUCGGGGGCCGGCAGACGUCCGAAAGCUGGCGGUGACCGGCAGCCCCAACCCUUUGGUGUCGUGCGGUGAGAAUAAAGCGCCCUUUGUUUAUAUUAAGGAGUUUGCAUAUAACCUGAGAAAUACGAAAUCGAGGAUCCGCCUGGAUAUUUACUUCCCAAGUUCUUGAGCGAUGAGUGAAGCAGAGAAGGGGGUUUACAGAGGGCUUGAUGAAGAAGGAAAGGUUCUCGUCUGCGAUCCCCCUCACUCUCUGCUGAAACGGUGGCUGCGGCAUUACCGGGAGCGCAGAUCCUCGAGACGGGACGGCGAGGUUGACCCUCAGCCUCGUUCCCGGCAGUGCCUGCUGUUGGCCACCUUCAUCCUGCUGGCUCUGGCACUCAUGGUGCUGCUCCUUCUCUGGAACUAUAAAUGCAUCAUCAUAGAGAAGAUGUGCAGCGGCCAGGAGAGCUCAAUGUUUCCUCUGUUUGGAGAUGGCGAGGAAAGUCACAUGAUGCAGAAGCCGGACUAAGGAGGCCGGGUGGCCUUUGCCCCUGCCAUCUCUGCUCUGCCAUCUACAAUCUCGCUGCGCUCGGUGCAGUGCUUGCUGUUGCUAUGUACAGUUCAGAUCCAGUUACUAGGUUUCUACAGCUUGCUUCCUGUCAGCCUCAUAGAUUUGAAAGUAACUGAUAUGUGGACAUUUCAUUAAUGCUGAAGAGUUGUCCAUCCUUCAGCUCACUUGGAAAAGCCCACGACAGAAAAUUUGCCUGAUAGAACCAAACCUUCAUAUGGUGACACAGCUUAUCACUGUAGAUGAGCUGUGUCUCUUUCGACCAUUGAUGUAACACAGCAGGUGAGGAUUCUGUGAUUCGCGAUAGUGACCCUGAAAAAGUCACCUUGGCUGUCUGAUGUUUAAGGUACAAUCGUGGCUCCACAAUGGAGUGCCGUAAAAGAUAAUGUGCCCUUCAGUGCUUACAUAUCUGAAUUAGCUACUUUAACAUGUGUUGCUCUGCUUGGCAGCAAUAGACCAGUGGCCUACGACCUUUUUUAUAGUGCGAGUCAGUUUUUAUGAAAAAAUAAUUUGGGGAUUUACCAAGUCACAGCAUUACCAACUGGGGGGGGGCGGGCACUCGCACUCAGUAGAGUUUUCUGAUUGGUGGACAGCUUCCCUUACUCCCCCUAAGUAGGCUUGGCUGACGGGUGGCGUGGGGGUGUCACUAUCAACUAGGAAUGCUUUAGAGAUCCACCAGUUGGCAACCAUUUUAGACAAAAAAAAUUUGGGUAUCGACAAAUUUGGGGGGAAAAAAAUGUGUACAUACAUCAAGCUAAUGGAUAUUAGGGAGAAAACUGAAUGGCAUGCAGAUCUCCUUCUGAAUAAUAAGGUCUUUGGUUCCUUUGCUUCUAUAGACAGACUGGUUUAUCUAGACACUUAUGUAUGGCCUAACUGCAGUUUUUCUGCUGAAACACUUUUUAAACUUUGAAUAAGCACAUUUAUACAUUCUUCUGUAUUACAGAAUGUGAAAUAUAUUAAAAGAUAUGUGUGUAUCUGCUUCUUAGUCUGACACUUUUAUCCAAAGGGACUCACAUUUGAGGGAAGGGUUACAAUUUAUAUCUACUCUUUUGGACCUAAAUCCGCGAUCUUUGCGUCAUUAGUGAAAUGCUCUGAAGUCGCUAACUAACAUUGACCUCACAGAGUGUAUCAGGCACUGUCCGGAACCCUGGCCGUAUUAGUGACUAUUUGUGAGUGAAUGGUACUACUAGAGCGGAGACUUGGUGACAGUAAUGACUUACAUGGGAUCAUAGAAUGUCUUAUAAAUAUUUUGCAAAGGGAGAAUGAAUACAUAUAAAUGCGACUGAAAAAAAAAAAAUUUAAAAUACAACAAAAGGGGCUCAAGUCUAAAUAAGUGUGGAAAAUGGUUAUUACUAACGCAGUCUCUUUUUGUUGGUCCUGACAGUUUAAUUCAAACAGUUUGAUAAAAAUGUAUAUAACGUCAUGUAAACUGCAUCGGAAGCACAAUAUCUUUCCAAGAUUCUGCCACCAGAGGGAGAUAUAGCUCAUGAUGAUAAGUCGCCCAAACCACGUUUUUAUCGCAGUCUGGUUUACAGAUAUUUUUUAUUGCUUGCAUUUAUAUUUCAGUAUUUGAAGCCCCACCUGUCAUACAGAGUAUAAUUGCAGGUUCGAUAGUUUGUGUAUUUUUUUCCUUUUAUUAAUGCAGCCAGUUAAUGCAAUGAGCUAUUUACAAGUAAAUAAGUUAAAUAACUGCAAAGGUAUAUUAAAAAAGAGAAGUACUGCUGCUUUCAUUCUCUUUUACUGUUGCAAUAAAAACAAUGAUUAUGGUUGGUUUGCAUAUGUUAAAUAAAGACCUAAAUCUUGCCAA
Paramormyrops kingsleyae is the source of this 3581-nucleotide long non-coding RNA. RefSeq lists it as uncharacterized. Lineage: Eukaryota; Metazoa; Chordata; Actinopteri; Osteoglossiformes; Mormyridae. The record is from RefSeq and is a predicted model, not a curated record.